Molecule: ribosomal RNA, 274 nt
Filed under: uncultured bacterium
Lineage: Bacteria
Description: partial 16S ribosomal RNA
Rfam family: Bacterial small subunit ribosomal RNA
Source: RNAcentral
AUACGGAGGGAGCAAGCGUUAUUCGGAAUCACUGGGCGUAAAGGACGCGUAGGCGGGUUGGCAAGUCAGAUGUGAAAUCCUACAGCUUAACUGUAGAACUGCAUUUGAAACUGCUAACCUAGAGUAUGGGAGGGGGAGAUGGAAUUAGUGGUGUAGGGGUAAAAUCCGUAGAUAUCACUAGGAAUACCGAAAGCGAAGGCGAUCUCCUGGAACAUAACUGACGCUAAGGCGUGAAAGCGUGGGGAGCAAACAGGAUUAGAAACCCCAGUAGUCC